Molecule: small RNA, 84 nt
Filed under: Tenacibaculum dicentrarchi
Lineage: Bacteria; Pseudomonadati; Bacteroidota; Flavobacteriia; Flavobacteriales; Flavobacteriaceae
Description: Flavo-1
Rfam family: Flavo-1 RNA
Source: RNAcentral
GUUUAGCCCCGAUUGAAGCAAUUGUUUGAGCUCUUUUUUGUUUUUUUCAAACAAAAAAAGCGAGUGCGGAAAGCGGGAAAUAGC